CAUUAGGAUUUUCUCAAAUCCAGCAAAUACUAAUAUUGAAUAUUUA
This is a non-coding RNA of Cathartes aura (turkey vulture), 46 nucleotides long. The record is from Rfam. NCBI's taxonomy places the organism in Eukaryota, Metazoa, Chordata, Aves, Accipitriformes, Cathartidae.